This 497-nucleotide ribosomal RNA is filed under the name uncultured bacterium. RNAcentral describes it as "partial 16S ribosomal RNA". It matches the Rfam family "Bacterial small subunit ribosomal RNA", at positions 28 to 507 of the family's 1533-position model. The record is from RNAcentral.
GAUGAACGCUGGCGGCGUGCCUAAUACAUGCAAGUCGAGCGAACAGACGAGGAGCUUGCUCCUCUGACGUUAGCGGCGGACGGGUGAGUAACACGUGGAUAACCUACCUAUAAGACUGGGAUAACUUCGGGAAACCGGAGCUAAUACCGGAUAAUAUAUUGAACCGCAUGGUUCAAUAGUGAAAGACGGUUUUGCUGUCACUUAUAGAUGGAUCCGCGCCGCAUUAGCUAGUUGGUAAGGUAACGGCUUACCAAGGCAACGAUGCGUAGCCGACCUGAGAGGGUGAUCGGACACACUGGAACUGAGACACGGUCCAGACUCCUACGGGAGGCAGCAGGAGGGAAUCUUCCGCAAUGGGCGAAAGCUUGACGGAGCAACGCCGCGUGAGUGAAGAAGGUCUUCGGAUCGUAAAACUCUGUUAUUAGGGAAGAACAAAUGUGUAAGUAACUAUGCACGUCUUGACGGUACCUAAUCAGAAAGCCACGGCUAACUACGUG